UACGAAGGGACCGAGCGUUGUCCGGAAUCAUUGGGCGUAAAGAGCGUGUAGGCGGCCACUUAAGUCCUGCGUGAAAUCUUGCGGCUCAACCGCAAGCGGUCGUGGGAAACUGGGUGGCUAGAGUGCGGGAGAGGAGAGUGGAAUUCCUGGUGUAGCGGUGGAAUGCGCAGAUAUCAGGAAGAACACCCGUGGCGAAGGCGGCUCUCUGGAACGCAACUGACGCUGAGACGCGAAAGCGUGGGGAGCAAACAGG
RNAcentral lists this ribosomal RNA (253 nucleotides) under uncultured bacterium. RNAcentral describes it as "partial 16S ribosomal RNA". It matches the Rfam family "Bacterial small subunit ribosomal RNA", at positions 524 to 776 of the family's 1533-position model. The record is from RNAcentral.